UACGAAGGGGGCUAGCGUUGUUCGGAAUUACUGGGCGUAAGGCGCACGUAGGCGGAUAUUUAAGUCAGGGGUGAAAUCCCAGAGCUCAACUCUGGAACUGCCUUUGAUACUGGGUAUCUCGAGUAUGGAAGAGGUGAGUGGAAUUCCGAGUGUAGAGGUGAAAUUCGUAGAUAUUCGGAAGAACACCAGUGGCGAAGGCGGCUCACUGGUCCGGUACUGACGCUGAGGUGCGAAAGCGUGGGGAGCAAACAGG
This 253-nucleotide ribosomal RNA is filed under the name uncultured bacterium. Its description in RNAcentral is "partial 16S ribosomal RNA". It matches the Rfam family "Bacterial small subunit ribosomal RNA", at positions 524 to 776 of the family's 1533-position model. The record is from RNAcentral.